This 441-nucleotide ribosomal RNA is filed under the name uncultured bacterium. RNAcentral's name for it is "partial 16S ribosomal RNA". It matches the Rfam family "Bacterial small subunit ribosomal RNA", at positions 338 to 795 of the family's 1533-position model. The record is from RNAcentral.
CCUACGGGAGGCAGCAGUGGGGAAUAUUGCACAAUGGGGGGAACCCUGAUGCAGCGACGCCGCGUGGGUGAAGGAGUAUUUCGGUAUGUAAAGCCCUAUCAGCAGGGAAGAACAAUGACGGUACCUGACUAAGAAGCACCGGCUAAAUACGUGCCAGCAGCCGCGGUAAUACGUAUGGUGCAAGCGUUAUCCGGAUUUACUGGGUGUAAAUGGAGCGCAGGCGGCGCGUUAAGCCUGGUGUGAAAGUCCGCGGCCCAACCGCGGGACUGCAUUGGGGACUGGCGCGCUGGAGUGCCGGAGGGGUAGGCGGAAUUCCUAGUGUAGCGGUGAAAUGCGUAGAUAUUAGGAGGAACACCAGUGGCGAAGGCGGCCUACUGGACGGUGACUGACGCUGAGGCUCGAAAGCGUGGGGAGCAAACAGGAUUAGAUACCCCAGUAGUC